UAGUGACAUACGUAAGAGUAAAAAUCUUCACCGAAAACGUAAAAAAGUAGAAUAAUAUUAUACAACUGUUGAUCGUCUCAGAGCAUACCUUGACAGUAUUAUAACAUACUAUAAAUUUAAUCAUAAAUAUUAAGUAUAAUAAAUCUAUUAUUCCGUGAAGAUAAUUAAUUUUCCAAUACACAUAAAGGAAGAGGUCGCAUUGCAAAAUGGAAACGCUAUGAAAACAUUUUAUCAUAAGUUUAAUAUUAGUGAAUAAGUUAAUUAGAUAGAAAAUUACGAUAUUAAGAUUCAUAUUACCUAUUAAA
Daktulosphaira vitifoliae (grape phylloxera) is the source of this 305-nucleotide long non-coding RNA. RefSeq lists it as uncharacterized. The record is from RefSeq and is a predicted model, not a curated record. The transcript has 3 exons. Lineage: Eukaryota; Metazoa; Arthropoda; Insecta; Hemiptera; Phylloxeridae.